CCUACGGGUGGCAGCAGUGGGGAAUAUUGCACAAUGGGGGGAACCCUGAUGCAGCAACGCCGCGUGGGUGAAGAAGUACUUCGGUAUGUAAAGCCCUGUCAGCAGGGAAGAAAAUGACGGUACCUGACCAAGAAGCCCCGGCUAACUACGUGCCAGCAGCCGCGGUAAUACGUAGGGGGCAAGCGUUAUCCGGAUUUACUGGGUGUAAAGGGAGCGUAGACGGCAAGGCAAGUCUGGAGUGAAAGCCCGGGGCUCAACCACGGGACUGCUUUGGAAACUGUGUUGCUGGAGUGCAGGAGGGGUAAGCGGAAUUCCUGGUGUAGCGGUGAAAUGCGUAGAUAUUAGGAGGAACACCGGUGGCGAAGGCGGCUUACUGGACUGUAACUGACGUUGAGGCUCGAAGGCGUGGGGAGCAAACAGGAUUAGAUACCCCAGUAGUC
Molecule: ribosomal RNA, 440 nt
Filed under: uncultured bacterium
Lineage: Bacteria
Description: partial 16S ribosomal RNA
Rfam family: Bacterial small subunit ribosomal RNA
Source: RNAcentral